Oryctolagus cuniculus (rabbit) is the source of this 835-nucleotide non-coding RNA. The record is from RefSeq and is a predicted model, not a curated record. Lineage: Eukaryota; Metazoa; Chordata; Mammalia; Lagomorpha; Leporidae.
CAGGCGCUGUGGCACUCGCAGCAGCGCAGAAGUACCGGGCCGCGUCGCUCCCCUGCACUGAGGCUUUCCUCAGGUGGAAGGAAGACUCGCUCUUCUUAAACUCAGCCUCAAAGCCUCUGAUGCCGGGAACCCGGGAGUCCCCUGAAACGUACUUGAGGAGAAGCUGGGGGCCUUGGCCGGGGUGCUGGACGUACCAGAAGAGAGAAACAGACCCCCCAUAGGAGUAGUUGCACCUCAGCUCCACAGCGGCUCCUUCAGACACAGCGACCUGCGCGUCGGGCUGGGUCACGGUCUGGGCUCUGGUGUCUCCUGGAAAAGCAAUGCGGGCCAUGAGCGCAGUGCCGGGUUCCCCGUGAAAAGUAAGCGUUUCCGGCCAGAACCUGUGGAAGCUGAGACCACAGAGAAACUUUACUCACUCAGGGCCCACUGGAGCCCUAGCACCGGGAUGAGCACCAGGAGCAUGGCCGAGGCGUGGAAACACUGCAGGCUCUUUCUGGAAGAUCUCCCGAGAGCAGGCAGGAGAGUGGCCGCGGACAAGACCUUGGAAACAGGGGUCAGUUAGGAUGCUCAAGCUCCUCUCUUAGAUAAACGCAGAAACGCUGCUAAAAUGAGGCUGGAUGCUUUCUCACUUCAGAUUCUCACCACUUGUCUGUAAAAGAUCUCCCAGAGCUGCAGGGAGGAGGAGCUGAGGAAGGAUGAGGGUCUUCUGCAGAAAUGAGGCCUGGUGUCUGUGCAGCAUCGCCCCCUGGAGGUCAUGUGAGGAACCACGGGUCCUGCGGCCCUACAACUAGUUCUUAAGUUCCUCCUUUUUAAAUAAAAUAUAUCAAAAUCGCUA